RNAcentral lists this unclassified non-coding RNA (306 nucleotides) under Hevea brasiliensis (rubber tree). The record is from RNAcentral. Lineage: Eukaryota; Viridiplantae; Streptophyta; Magnoliopsida; Malpighiales; Euphorbiaceae.
UAAAUGAGCUAUUAUUCAUCAACUAUCCCUUUUUCUUCGCGAUGGAAAACAUUCCACUCGCUUCAGAACUUCAAGUUAGAAAAAUAUAAAUAUUCCGAGCAUUCUAUGAUCCUAGUAAUAUACGCGGAAUCCUUACUCUGAAAGAAAAGACUGAUGGUCUACACGUUGGUGAUUAGCAGAGAAGAUGAAUCGAACCAACAGGUGGAAUGAUGGGACCAUUAAAAAACAUGCAGUUAAAAGGAGCAUACUGAACUCUAUCACUUUGAUUCCUUCGAUCCUUCAUAGCCGUAGGGGUUUUUACUGGCC